RNAcentral lists this ribosomal RNA (119 nucleotides) under Pteropus alecto (black flying fox). Lineage: Eukaryota; Metazoa; Chordata; Mammalia; Chiroptera; Pteropodidae. The record is from RNAcentral.
GGCUAUGGCCAUGCCACCCUGAACACUCCCGAUCUCGUCUAAUCUCAGAAGCUAAGCAGGGUCGGGCCUGGUCAGUACUCGGAUGGGAGACCACCUAGGAAUACCAGGUGCUGUAGGCG